This 344-nucleotide long non-coding RNA is filed under the name Rattus norvegicus (Norway rat). RNAcentral describes it as "long non-coding RNA NONRATT024897". Lineage: Eukaryota; Metazoa; Chordata; Mammalia; Rodentia; Muridae. The record is from RNAcentral.
GGCAGAAGCGAAGGGGGUAAAAGCGAGCUCUGGAUCUUUCAGAUGCAUGGCCGUGAACCUACACGGGCCACCUGUAAGAGGACACACACUCUGAUGACCAAGAGGAAGAGCAGGAGUGUGGCGUCGUUGAGGCAAUGAAAUAGCCAGUUUUGCUCCAGUGUGAUAGAUGAGGAGAGAAACGGAAUUUCAGCAUCAUCUGCGGAGUCUUGUUGACCACUAACACCUCCCUUGGAGGCAGAUGCACGCCAAUGCUCAUAUUCGCCCUGCCCCAGGCAGUUAGAAAUUUGUGCUCCAGUCCUUGGGUUCACACUUGCACCCUGUUUGACAUAAAUACUUUAAAUGAC